UUGAUCAGUUACAGGGAAAAAGGCGAAGCGCAGUCUAAUUGUAACUUUCCCCAAAUGAGAAGCGAGAGAAGGCCAAAAGUCUCGUGGCAAGCUUACUUUGCCAGACUGAUCAUCUUCGGGGCUGUUUUGAUGCGAUCCAGAACUUUCUACGAGAUCCAUUGCCAAAUCUGUUUCGUCAGGUCAGCCAUCGAAAACUCUUGGAGAAAACAUUUUAAGCAACAAGUGAUGACGUUACGUAGGCAUGGACUUAUUCAGCAAGCUUGAAGCACCUACUCUGUGUUGGAUACUUUAACCUCUUAAAUUCUCACAGCACAUCACACUAGUUUACAGACGAAGAAACUAGCCUCGGAGUGAUUGGGUAACCCGUCCGGAUCCUAAAGGGAAGGCACCUUGCAAACACCUAAGAGAAGUCACUCAGAGUAGGGGGAAAAUGAAUCAUCAAAACAGGACACUCUGCCGCUCGAAUGGAGAUGCCGUUCAUAAUUAAGAUCUCCGCUGGGACACAGGGCAUCGGCCAGACCAGUAUGGGAGAUCCACAUGGAGCAGGUAAUGUCGUGAGUGUCCGUAGACAGGAGAUGGGAGAUUUUGGCUUUGGAGACAUGAGGGGGUGGGGAUAUUGUCUCAAGUCAUAAGAGUGGCAUUCGAAUGGCACACAGUUGAAACAACAAUUGCCGAAAGGCGCCACACGCUUUCGCAACAUUGCUCUCCAAUUAUUCCCAGGGCCACAGCUAGAAGGGGGAUCAAUAUCACUAAAGACACAGAUUUGGAUAAACAUAAGUUAUGUGGAUUUUUUUUUUUAAUCUCUGCUGAGUUUUCUGUUAUAAAGCUUCCUUCACUAUCCUGAGAGAAGCAGUUUUCCCCAUUACUGAUGGAAAGUUAAGUCUCCUCAUAAGUAGGAUUUCCCUUCCAGAAAUUCAAAACGAGAAAAAGUAGCAGACCAUGCAGUUUUGUGCCAGCGAACAGCUUUUUCCAAAGAUUUGAACGGAAUAAUUUGUUUUUCAUGGUUUAUAAGUAGCAGAUAAAACCUACAUGGAAAAUCAGACAAGAAGAAAUGGAAAAUAAGACGCAGAAUCUGGAAUCGUAACCUUAAAAAGCAAUUUGUUUUAUUUCAGCCGUGCCCAGAAAGCACUUGAGGUUAACAAGUGAGUAUUUCUACUGGAAGAAUCGGUUACAAUCAGGUCACCAGCUUAGAGAAGACGUAGGCGGAAGUUUAGACACCAAGUCUAUCAUUUUAAACGUGCUUUGUCAGCAAAACUGUCAGGGACAGACUGUUGACUUAAAGUGAUUAUGAGAGGGUAAAAUAUCAAAGAGGAAGAUGAAGCGUUUGUGGAAAGGCCCCUCUUAAGAUCGGGAGCAGCCGAGGGUCUCCAUAUGACACGGUUGCGCAUUCCUUGGGGAGCAGGUUUUGAGCUCCUUGACUCCUUCCUACAUCAGUCUCAUGUGGAAAAAAAGAAAACCCAAAAACAAAACAGAAACUAGCUUCCUCUUGAAGUCCUUGCUCUUGGCUACAGAGACCCGGGCCACACAUUUAAUCUGGUGCAAAGUGUUGUUUAGGAUGACAGAGACAUGGUAAUACUCUUCUGCUUUCCCACUGCAAGCUGGGUGUGAAAAUCUGUAACAGUACUAUUCGAACUUCUCAUUGAACAAUCAACAACAAAUAAAAACCUAGAGCCCUCGACCCUGGCACCAAUGGACAGAUUCUGCGUGGGUCAUCUUAGCUCACCUGGGAAUGGAUUAUUUUUUUCCUAGAAGUUUAUUUGAGUCCGAAAGAUUUAAUUGUUAAUUCAGUGUCUAUUAUCGUCUUAUAUAGGUGCUUAAUAACGACUAGAGCUGACAAACCUUUGGAUCCAUAUGAGCUGUGGAAUUCAGAAGGAUAUUAUUUCCUGCUAUGUUAGUAACUGAGUUUUUGCAGUGGGUUUUACUUGGUAGCUCAUUUGAUCCAUUUGGUUUGAUCAUUUAGAUGUUUCAAGCCACCAAAUAUGGCCUUAAGUUUCACAAAUGUUGUGUCUAUUUCCUUAGCAACCAAAUGGUUCUGAGACCUGUUUUUUUUUUUUUUUUUAUCUGUAGGUCAUUGCCAUCACUACAGGGGGAACGCCCCCCUCAAACUUUUCUUCUUAAAUUGGAGCUGUUGCUUGAACAAAAGCCUGAAAGGAUGGGUCUUAGAAAAGCUGCUGAACACGCAGCUGUAACAUAAGGCUGAAGCGAUCCAUGUCAACAGUUAGCUGGGUGCAUUCAUUGGUUUGUGUCUGUGUUGAAGACAGCCUGUAGACGGAAGGCACUUGGUUUUAGCCCUAGACCAUUCAGUGCCUUGUUCCAUUUCCUUUACCACAUGCAUGUUAGUGUUUAUCUCUUUGAAUCAUUAGAACUAUAAAAUGCUGUCCCUUUUCCUAUCAAAGAUUUGAAAAAUAUCUUUUGCCACGCGGUAGGUAUAGAGAAUUCUUUUGGACACAGACUUUUAAAUCCAGUCUUCCCAUGGAACUACCAUUGAUAUCAGAUAUUAAGAUGAAGACAGUUUACUGUUCAUGGAAGUGUAGCUCUCAGGAGGGCCCAAGGUCAUCCCAAGGCUCAGUUGUAAAAUCAGAAGAUACUAGUGUGUGUGUGUGCGUGUGGGUGUGCGCGCGUGCCUGUGUGUGUGCACAUGUGAGACAGAGAGAGAGGGAGAGAAGGAGAGAGAGAUUGGGUUGGGAAAGGUACCAUCCACUGGAUGUUUAGCCUCAUUGUCACGUUUUUCUUCUUUAUGACUAAAAGAAUCAAGCUCAUGGAAAAAAAUUUGAUCAUGUCUCCAUUUUUCAAAAUCUGGCGUGAAUUCAGAGAAGCUAAGUCAUCUGCCAAGAACUUUACAGCCAAGAGGUGGUAGAACCAAGAUGCGAAGUCAGGUUGGCCCGUUGCCAAAGUCUAGUACGCUAUAUGCUGUUUCCCAAGGAACAUUCUAAGAACCGAGUUCUUUUCCCGCUUGCAGAUGUCAGGUAGGCUGCUCAGGUAGAAGGUGCUAAGUGCAGAUAUUGUCAACGGCAAGUGAGUGAGGUAGAAUUCGGGGGAGAUUAAAGCUUUCCUGGACACCCGAAUUACAUCCUAGGCAUAGGUCCUGUCUCUCAAUAUGGCUUCUAGAAAUAUUAAGCAUCAGAAGCUCUAGUGAUGGUGUGAAUCAUAGGAAGUGCUAAGCUAAAAUACUGAAUGAGUCAUUCUUUCUGGAAACAAUGGCAUUUAUGUCUCUAAAACUCUUGGUGGACUUCUGCAGAUGGGGUAGAAUAAAAACUAUUUAAAUUUCACCACUACUACCUACUGCUAAACACUAAAAUAAACGUACUGCUAUUAAUACAAAAUAGCUUUCCCUUUUUGAAAAGUUGUUAUCAACACGUUGAAUUAUUUGCUUAUCAAAACACUGAAUAGCAUGCCACACGCCUUCUGGGUGUAAAAUAAAUGUUAAUGACAAUAAAUAUAGUGGUACCCGA
Molecule: long non-coding RNA, 3452 nt
Organism: Prionailurus viverrinus (fishing cat)
Lineage: Eukaryota; Metazoa; Chordata; Mammalia; Carnivora; Felidae
Exons: 3
Source: RefSeq, a predicted model, not a curated record